CCGCGGUAAUACCGGCGGCUCGAGUGGUGGCCACGUUUAUUGGGCUUAAAGCGUUCGUAGCUGGGUUAUUAAGUCCCUUGGGAAAUCCGACAGCUUAACGUGUCGGGCGUCUAAGAGAUACUGGUAAUCUUGGAACCGGGAGAGGUGAGGGGUACUUCGGGGGUAGGAGUGAAAUCCUGUAAUCCUCGAGGGACCACCUGUGGCGAAGGCGCCUCACCAGAACGGCUUCGACAGUGAGGGACGAAAGCUGGGGGAGCAAACCGGAUUAGAUACCCGGGUAGUCCCAGCCGUAAACGAUGUGCGUUAGGUGUAUCGGUGACCACGAGUCACCGAGGUGCCGAAGGGAAACCGUGAAACGUACCGCCUGGGAAGUACGGUCGCAAGGCUGAAACUUAAAGGAAUUGGCGGGGGAGCACCACAACAGGUGGAGCCUUGCGGUUUAAUUGGACUCAACGCCGGAAAUCUCACCGGAUAAGACAGCAGAAUGAUUGCCGGGCUGAAGACUCUGCAUGACUAGCUGAGGGGAGGUGCAUGG
RNAcentral lists this ribosomal RNA (535 nucleotides) under uncultured archaeon. Its description in RNAcentral is "bacterial SSU rRNA". It matches the Rfam family "Archaeal small subunit ribosomal RNA", at positions 465 to 997 of the family's 1478-position model. The record is from RNAcentral.